ACAAGGCCUCCUGCCAUGAAUCUAACUUCGAGUAACGGGAAUCUGCAUGAAAAACAAGUCAACAACCAAUCUUUAAUUUAAUCACACCAUUCACAAUAACAAGACACUAAUUAACUAUGACUCGAGUCUAACUCUUAACACCGUAUUCCGGUGUUACCACUCACUCUAGGGUUUCAACCCUCUACUAUACACGACACUCUAAUUGGGCCCAACAAAAUCAUUCUUCCUCCACACAAGGGACACUGGCAAUC
Molecule: long non-coding RNA, 251 nt
Filed under: Brassica napus (rape)
Lineage: Eukaryota; Viridiplantae; Streptophyta; Magnoliopsida; Brassicales; Brassicaceae
Description: long non-coding RNA (BNAP_LNC012415)
Source: RNAcentral